UACGGGGGGGGCAAGCGUUGUUCGGAAUCAUUGGGCGUAAAGCGCGUGUAGGCGGUUCGGUAAGUCCGCUGUGAAAGUCGGGGGCUCAACCCUCGGAUGCCGGUGGAUACUGUCGGACUAGAGUACGGAAGAGGCGAGUGGAAUUCCUGGUGUAGCGGUGAAAUGCGCAGAUAUCAGGAGGAACACCAAUUGCGAAGGCAGCUCGCUGGGACGUUACUGACGCUGAGACGCGAAAGCGUGGGGAGCAAACAGG
Molecule: ribosomal RNA, 253 nt
Filed under: uncultured bacterium
Lineage: Bacteria
Description: partial 16S ribosomal RNA
Rfam family: Bacterial small subunit ribosomal RNA
Source: RNAcentral